CUGUAGGUACAUAAACUGGCACAGGCUAGCUAUCUUCUAAUAGCCUUUUUGAAUGCAUGUCAACGCCAGACCCAACGUGCAAUGUGGCAAAUGAGAAUUGUGGUAAUAUAUUGGAGAGGUGGAGGACAUUUGUGGGACCUACGGAUCCUGCCACAUACCACAGACAACAUCUGUGUCUGUUGAUGUAGGCUCACACAUGCUGUUUUGUUCGUCAUGUUCAAGUGCGGAAAAUCAGCUGACAGUAGUGUAAGAAAGCUCCGGAGAUUGUACGUUCACCGCUAGAUUAAGAAAAAAAGUUGUUCGGUGGAUGUAAGGGAGGUUGCGCUUCCGCAAGCAAAUGCCCAUGACUUUGUUCGCAGUGUCAGUUGAAAUGAUCGUAUUGUGAAGUAGCUACGGAACGUAUUGAUGAAAAAAUAUUCAUCAAAGCUCGAUAAAUUUCAUUGUAAAAACACAAUAGUUUAUAUGUUCCAAAUUAAUCAUGGCCAAAAAUUUCACCGAGCCAUCUGCGGUGAUGCGUUCGAUUGAGAUUCAUACUGCCAAGAUGUGUCGGGUUUGCUUGCAAAGGCACCACUUGGUGGCCAUUGCGCGGAAUCCUCGACUCGCUUGGUGUUUCUCCAGAAUCCUUCCAAGCGAUCCCGAUCUGCCGCAAUUCGUCUGUGCGACCUGCGAACGGAUGGUCGACAUUCUCUACCAGUUCGAUGUGCUAGGAAAUUUGACGGCGAAUCUGGUUCGGACGUACGUCACCGAUGGAGGGAGGUUCCCUCAGACGGGCAUGAUCGAAGAGGAACUACAGCGGGCCGAGGAGCGUCUGCAGAGAACAGCUUCUUCAAAAAAA
Aedes aegypti (yellow fever mosquito) is the source of this 835-nucleotide long non-coding RNA. RefSeq lists it as uncharacterized. The transcript is spliced from 2 exons. The record is from RefSeq and is a predicted model, not a curated record. NCBI's taxonomy places the organism in Eukaryota, Metazoa, Arthropoda, Insecta, Diptera, Culicidae.